UUGAACGCUGGCGGCAUGCUUUACACCUGCAAGUCGAACGGCAGCGGGGAGGAGCUUGCUUCUCUGCCGGCGAGUGGCGAACGGGUGAGUAAUACAUCGGAACGUGUCGAGAAGAGGGGGAUAACCACCCGAAAGGGUGGCUAAUACCGCAUAAAUUCUGAGGAAGAAAGCUGGGGACCUGGGAAUAGGCCUAGCGCUUUUUGAGCGGCCGAUGUCGGAUUAGCUAGUUGGUGAGGUAAAGGCUCACCAAGGCGAAGAUCUGUAGCGGGUCUGAGAGGAUGAUCCGCCACACUGGGACUGAGACACGGCCCAGACUCCUACGGGAGGCAGCAGUGGGGAAUUUUGGACAAUGGGGGCAACCCUGAUCCAGCCAUGCCGCGUGUAUGAAGAAGGCCUUAGGGUUGUAAAGUACUUUUGUUAGGGAAGAAAAGUCAGCUGUGAAUAAUGGCUGAUACUGACGGUACCUAAAGAAUAAGCACCGGCUAACUACGUG
Molecule: ribosomal RNA, 493 nt
Filed under: uncultured bacterium
Lineage: Bacteria
Description: partial 16S ribosomal RNA
Rfam family: Bacterial small subunit ribosomal RNA
Source: RNAcentral